RNAcentral lists this ribosomal RNA (492 nucleotides) under uncultured bacterium. Its description in RNAcentral is "partial 16S ribosomal RNA". It matches the Rfam family "Bacterial small subunit ribosomal RNA", at positions 29 to 507 of the family's 1533-position model. The record is from RNAcentral.
AGUGAACGCUGGCGGUAGGCCUAACACAUGCAAGUCGAACGGCAGCACAGUAAGAGCUUGCUCUUACGGGUGGCGAGUGGCGGACGGGUGAGGAAUACAUCGGAAUCUACUUUUUCGUGGGGGAUAACGUAGGGAAACUUACGCUAAUACCGCAUACGACCUACGGUUGAAAGCAGGGGAUCUUCGGACCUUGCGCGAUUGAAUGAGCCGAUGUCGGAUUAGCUAGUUGGCGGGGUAAAGGCCCACCAAGGCGACGAUCCGUAGCUGGUCUGAGAGGAUGAUCAGCCACACUGGAACUGAGACACGGUCAAGACUCCUAAGGGAGGCAGCAGUGGGGAAUAUUGGACAAUGGGCGCAAGCAUGAUCCAGCCAGACCGCGUGGGUGAAGAAGGCCUUCGGGUUGUAAAGCCCUUUUGUGGGGAAAGAAAAGCAGCAGGUUAAUACCCAGCUGUUCUGACGGUACCCAAAGAAGAAGCACCGGCUAACUUCGUG